ACAGUCCUGCGCCUCGAUAAAUUUACUGCGUAAUUGUGGAGGUGCUGUGUUAGCAUCUCGUCCUAGUGACUGUGCAUAGGACUUUCCACCACAGGCUUUCCCAGAAGACCCUACACUGUGCUAUGGAAAACGCGGACACAGCAAAGCGAACGCUGAUCCCAGACCUCCCUCGGGUUGUCAAGACUCAGGCACCGGCUGCUCAUUGAGAGCUCUACGUGCCCCGGCUGCCUGCCCUUCCUCAUGGCACUACUGUGCACAGUGUGCUGUGUUUUAAGGGUACAGCUGUGCUGUGCUGUUUCCUCUCUUCAGUCCGUCCAUCCAGGAAGGUGCAUUUUGUCCCAUCUAAUCACCACUUAAGUUUGGAGAAGGUGAGCUGAAAAGUACUUCCUUAGCCUGCAAAAUGGACUAAUGAAUUUCUCGAUACCGAAACACCUUUUGAGGCCAAAGUAGUGCUUGUAUAGAUGAUUUUAAAAGUUUUCUUCUAGAAGACAUGUAAAAUAUGUGGUUUGCUUUUGUUAGGUUUUUUUUGUUUUGCUUUGUUUUGUUUUGUUUUAAUGUGCUUAAAAUAUUCUUUCAUACCAGCAGAGCUGUGACUGGAUGUAGCAUGACCUGGCAUAAAUGCCAGGGUAGAAACUCAACUUUGGUAGUUGGAUUUGAUCAGAAGAAUAAAAGCAGAUUGUUGUUUC
Vidua macroura (Pin-tailed whydah) is the source of this 686-nucleotide long non-coding RNA. RefSeq lists it as uncharacterized. The transcript has 2 exons. The record is from RefSeq and is a predicted model, not a curated record. Lineage: Eukaryota; Metazoa; Chordata; Aves; Passeriformes; Viduidae.